AAUGCACCAAUUUGUAAGUCGCUCUGGAUAAGAGCGUCUGCUAACUGACGUAAA
Non-coding RNA from Salmo salar (Atlantic salmon), 54 nucleotides. The record is from Rfam. NCBI's taxonomy places the organism in Eukaryota, Metazoa, Chordata, Actinopteri, Salmoniformes, Salmonidae.